Molecule: ribosomal RNA, 500 nt
Filed under: uncultured bacterium
Lineage: Bacteria
Description: bacterial SSU rRNA
Rfam family: Bacterial small subunit ribosomal RNA
Source: RNAcentral
AGGACGAACGCUGGCGGCGUGCCUAACACAUGCAAGUCGAGCGGGACAUACGACGGAUCGGAAGUUUUCGGAUGGAAGAGAAGAUGUAUGUUCUAGCGGCGGACGGGUGAGUAACGCGUGAGCAACCUGUCCUUCACAGGGGGAUAACACAGCGAAAGUUGUACUAAUACCGCAUGAGACCACACUGGGACAUCCCAGAGGGGUCAAAGGAGCAAUCCGGUGAAGGGUGGGCUCGCGUCCGAUUAGAUAGUUGGUGAGGUAACGGCCACCAAGUCGACGAUCGGUAGCCGACCUGAGAGGUUGAACGGCCACAUUGGGACUGAGACACGGCCCAGACUCCUACGGGAGGCAGCAGUGGGGAAUAUUGCACAAUGGGCGAAAGCCUGAUGCAGCGAUGCCGCGUGGAGGAAGAAGGUUUUCGGAUUGUAAACUCCUUUUUCAGGGACGAUAAUGACGGUACCUGAAGAAGAAGCUCCGGCCAACUACGUGCCAGCCGCCGC